AUUGAACGCUGGCGGCAGGCUUAACACAUGCAAGUCGAGCGAGCGGCGGACGGGUGAGUAAUGUCUGGGACACUGCCUGAUGGAGGGGGAUAACUAAUGGAAACUGUAGCUAAUCCCGCAAACACGCUGCUGUUCCCAGAUGGGAUUAGCUAGUAGGUGGGGAAACGGCACACCUAGGCCACGACCCCUACCUGGUCUUAGAGGAUGACCAGCCACACUGGAACUGAGACACGGUCAAGACUCCGACGGGAGGCAGCAGUGGGGAAUAUUGCAAAAUGGGCGCAAGCCUGAUGCAGCCAUGCCGCGUGUAUGAAGAAGGCCGUCGGGUUGUAAAGUACUGUCAGCGAGGAGGCGUUACUAGCAGAAGAAGCACCGGCUAACUCCGUGCCAGCAGCCGCGGUAAUUC
Molecule: ribosomal RNA, 406 nt
Filed under: uncultured bacterium
Lineage: Bacteria
Description: partial 16S ribosomal RNA
Rfam family: Bacterial small subunit ribosomal RNA
Source: RNAcentral